UUCCCACUCUCAACUCACACGACGACAGUGAUCAUGAAGUUUGCUAUCCUGAUCUGCGUUUCUGUUCUCUUUUACCUCUCUGUGGCAGAAACACAACAGAGCGAGGACAACAAUGUUCCUGAUUUUGGAUGUACUCGUGAGUACAAUCCAGUGUGUGGAGAUGAUGGAGUCACAUACUCCAAUGAGUGCAUGCUACACUGGGAGAGCAAGCAUCGUAACAAGAACGUCAGCCUAAAGCACGUAGGAGUGUGUGAGACCUCCUGAACUCACUGCUGUUACAUCUAUGGCAUCCAAAAUGGCUUUCCAUUUAGAUACUACAGCAACUACGAAUGAUUUUCUGUCAUACGUUAAUCAGUAUCAUAUAAUGACAUAUGCUAUUUGAACUUUUCCAGACAUCACUUUGUCAACAUGUAAUUUCAUGCAAUAAAACAGUUUAGAAUUUAAGAGCUCUAUUUUAUUAAUAAAUUAAUAAAUAAGAACUGUAAUUUCAAAUAAACCAUAUUUAUAAUCUACAUUUUCUUUCUUUCUGUAGGAUUUUGUAGUACAUAAAAGCAUUUUUUUCUUCUGGACCAGAUAAAAAAAAAACUACAGAAUCUUCAGAAAGCUAAAAAUACUUAAAAUUACAUUUUUAAUAUAUGGGUGAAUACAUGAUUACUUUUUGUUUGCAUCAUUCAAAAAUACAUUAAAAAUUCAAUUUAUACAUACACUGACUCGA
Molecule: long non-coding RNA, 715 nt
Filed under: Sinocyclocheilus anshuiensis
Lineage: Eukaryota; Metazoa; Chordata; Actinopteri; Cypriniformes; Cyprinidae
Description: lncRNA (ENSSANG00000019162.1)
Source: RNAcentral